ACCUAGGUCAUAAGACUUAACUUCUAGUUUUUUUUCUAAGUCUUUACUCGUCGUCUUCUUCUCUAAAAAAAGUUCUCUCAUCUCUAGAUCCACACCACCGCCUAGCCACAUACCUUUUCAGUUGGCAUGGUCUCGUCUCCUCCGUCUUCCACCGUUAAAGCCUCAUGGAUUUGAAUCGGUGUGUCAAGGAGAUGAAUUCGCACAAGAUAAAUUGAAUCGGUAAGGAGAUCGGAAACCAGAUGGUGGUGACAAGAAGGAGAAGAAGUUCGAACGAGCCGCACCACCUGCUCGUGUUGGGAGGAAGCAACGGAAGCAGAAAGGACUUGAAGCGGCGGCUAAAUUUCAGACCGUGACUCCUACUAAAUGAAAGCUUCGAUUGCUUAAUAUAAAGCGAUUAGUACAUAAAUGAUUGGAUCAUGACCCUCUAUUUCCCUGAUUCGAAAAUACGAAGCUAGUCGAAAAGCUGAAUGAUGCAUACAAGAAAUUCAUGGAUUUGCCUAACGACUUAUUUUUCAGUUUUGUCUACGACUCUAGCAUGGAUUGUUGAGUGUUAUAUCUUUUUAAUAUGUCUUAUGCUUGCUUUGAUUUGUUGUUAAUAUGUCUUUUUAAGGAGAUGAAAUCCACCGAUAGCCUGGUAUGCUUCCACUUUCUCGUCUCUCAUGCUAGUAAAUUUAUGCUUGCUUUGAUUUGUUGUUAUGUAAUUGAUUUUAUUUUAAGGGGUUACGUUUUUAGAGUUCUAUUUGCACACAAGGUGUUCGACGAAUUGACUGUGAGACAGAAACUGAGAAACGACUCUCUCAACAUGUCUUCCUAUGAUGAUCUUUCAUGUUUGCUAAUUGAAUGUAAAAAUUUGACCUUUGCUUUUGUAGUCUAAAAUGGUGGACUAUAUCCUUGAAGUCUCUAAUCCUAUGAAACAGCACUUUGAGGUGAGUAAUAUUUUUUGUCUGUAAGCUCUUAGUGCUAAGAAGUUUGUAAUUGUGAUUUGGCAGCUCAUUUUAAUGUGGAGGGUUUUGGUUAUGUCCAGUUAACACUAUAACCUCAAGUUUUGUGAAUAGAAAAACGUCUAUAGAUUAAGACCACCACUAGGUAACUAGAAACUCUUCAUUCAAGAGAAUGGCUCUGCUUUCAUGUUCGAAGAGAGAUCUAUUAAUAAGAUGGUUGUUGGCAUUCUCUCUUCAUGCACCAUCAAAAGUGUGUUCUUGUAGACACUCAUGAUGUUGGUAAUAACUGUAAGGUCACAGCUUUUAUUGGAGGUAUAGAUCUUUGUGAUGGCCGCUAUGACACACCUGAUCUUGAAACUGUGUUUAAGGAUGAUUUUCACAAUCCUACAUUUCCUGCUGGUACUAAGGAUCCAAAACAGCCUUGGCAUGAUUUGCACUGAAUGAUAGAUGGGCAUGCGGUCAAUGCAAGAAGGACGUCAUUGUAAGGAGGACAUAGAGAACAUGACAUGGAAAUGGCAACAAUAGUCUAGAGUAUUGGAUUAAACUUUGCUAGGGCGGAUAAUGACCAAGAGAUCUUCCUCUUCCAACCUCUUCUUCUAUGAACUACAAAGUGAUGAUUUCAAGGUAAAAGUUAUGGCUGAUGGCACGUGAAUGCUUUGUUUAGGCGGUAAGAUUUAGAAAAGAAAAUUUGUUUGAUCAAGUUAGUUGAUUGUGUUUGGUAGAAUCUGUGAUUGUCGAUAGGAGAAGUUUGUUUCUCUUUGCCCCUUAUCUCAUAAAUUAGUACUCUUGUUAUUUAAGAGUCGUUGAUGUAUUUAUAUAAGAUUUGGUUUGGAUUA
Arabidopsis lyrata subsp. lyrata is the source of this 1777-nucleotide long non-coding RNA. RefSeq lists it as uncharacterized. NCBI's taxonomy places the organism in Eukaryota, Viridiplantae, Streptophyta, Magnoliopsida, Brassicales, Brassicaceae. The transcript has 6 exons. The record is from RefSeq and is a predicted model, not a curated record.